CAGUCGCCGCGGUAAUACGGAGGGGGCUAGCGUUGUUCGGAAUUACUGGGCGUAAAGCGCACGUAGGCGGUUUUGUAAGUCAGAGGUGAAAGCCCGGAGCUCAACUCCGGAACUGCCUUUGAGACUGCAUCACUUGAACGUCGGAGAGGUGAGUGGAAUUCCUAGUGUAGAGGUGAAAUUCGUAGAUAUUCGGAAGAACACCAGUGGCGAAGGCGGCUCACUGGACGACUGUUGACGCUGAGGUGCGAAAGCGUGGGGAGCAAACAGGAUUAGAUACCCCAGUAGUCCCUGUCUCUUAUAC
This 301-nucleotide ribosomal RNA is filed under the name uncultured bacterium. Its description in RNAcentral is "partial 16S ribosomal RNA". It matches the Rfam family "Bacterial small subunit ribosomal RNA", at positions 509 to 807 of the family's 1533-position model. The record is from RNAcentral.